UGAAAGCACAUGUAUAUUACAGUGCACAUCUAUCGGCAUCUUCCAUGAGGUCAGGAUAUUUCUGAAGCCCGUCUGGUUGUACCACUGCAAGAGCCUGGGAGUACAACACAGUGCAUUUUCCUAGAGGGCCAACUUACUUAGUGAUGAAUGAAAGGACAUAUUUCCAGACUGAAUGAACCCCACGAACUACUCAGCAUCCCACGUUAAAGUAGACUCAUGCAGAAGUACAUCAUCAUGAAAUUUUGGAACACUGCGAACAUGCAGACCCUAGAAGCAUCCUGAUUUUUUAAAAAACUCACAUACAAAGGAUUGAAAAUCAGAAUAUUGUCAGACUUCUUAAAGCAAGUUAAACUGCAGAACAAUGGAGCAAUGUCUUCAAAGUUCUCAGAGAAGAUUGUUUCCAACCUCUAAUCUGUACCCUAACAACUAAUAAAGUGUGAAGUUAGAAUAAGGACAGUUUCAGGCAAACAAGAUCCCAGC
This 480-nucleotide long non-coding RNA is filed under the name Homo sapiens (human). RNAcentral describes it as "HSALNT0179763". The record is from RNAcentral. Lineage: Eukaryota; Metazoa; Chordata; Mammalia; Primates; Hominidae.